Molecule: long non-coding RNA, 1381 nt
Organism: Cyprinus carpio carpio
Lineage: Eukaryota; Metazoa; Chordata; Actinopteri; Cypriniformes; Cyprinidae
Source: Ensembl
UUUGGAACGACAUGAGGGUCAGUAAUUGAUGACAGAAUUUUCAUUUUUAGGUGAACUAACCCUUUAAUAUACAUGUAACUCUGAUUGUAUUCGUCUGAAAGAAAGUCAAGGAUGGCUUGAGGUGCAAUCCCACCUAAUGACCCUGACUAAAUCAUUCCAGCUGUGAAACCAUGUAAGCAAGCCCUGAUGAUGACACAGCAUCCAUAUGUACCAUCUGCUUCAGGAUCAUAUCCCUAAACAGUGGGCAAUGAAAAUCAGCUUAGUCAACUCUGCCAAGCCUGAUUCACCUCAAUUAAACUGCGGGGACAAGCCUGCUAAUUCAGUGCAUAUAACAUUCGCCGUGGAUCUAUACACAAACUUCAGACUUGUUUACAGUCGGGCCAGCUGCACACCACUGCUAAAUUGUGUUAGAGUGCUAGAUGCGGCCAUUUUUUUAAUAAACUAGAGUAGUACUUUAAAAACAGUUAUGAAACAGUAUCCAGCAGCAAGGCGGCACAUUAUUCUUUCUUUGGUUUCUACAGAAAGUGCUACAUACAGUACAUGGCCAGAAGUAUGUGUUCGCCCCUUUCAGUGACAUGUUUGCAUAUUAAGCCUUGCCUAUUUCAAGUACAUUUAUUAAUGUAUUUCUGUACACAACUGUUCAAAAAUUUGGGGUUUGUAAGAUUGUAUUUUAUUUCUUAUAUUGAUAGUUAAGACAUUUAUAAUGUCAAAUGAUUUUAGAUUUAUUUGCAAAAUUCUACAUAAAUAUUAAGAGGCACAACUGUUUUCAAUGUUGAUAAAAAUUAGAAGUGUUCCCGGAGCACCAAAUCAGCAUUUAAGAAUGAUUUGAAGAUCAUGUGACACUCUAGACUGGAGUAAUGAUGCGUUGUCAUCACAGAAAUAAAUUACAUCUUAAAAUAAAUUCAAAAAGAAAACAGUUCUUUUAAAUUGUAAAAAUAUUUCAGAAUAUUACAUAUAAUUUUUUAUCAAAUAAAUGCAGCCUUGGUGAAAGACUUCUUUCAAAAACAUUCAAAAUAUUACUCACCCCAAACUUUUGAAAGGUAGUGUUUUUUUCUUUAUGCUUACUGUGCUUAUACUUAUGAUCCAUACAUUGCAAAGGGAAUUAAAACCAUCAUGAUUAAUGUAUAUUUUCAUGUAUGAAAUGCACCAUAAUGUCCGUCUAUUUUGAACUUGUCACUUGCUAGCAACUGCUUUCUUCACUGAAGCUUUGCAUUCAAAUAUUUCAACUCAAAUCAUUAUUUUGUGUCUAUUCAUUUAGUUUCAUGGCAAUUAGCCGUGUAAUAAGUGGGAUAAUGUACAUCCAGCUGGUUGUUAUCACAAAAUAAAGCCCUCAGUCUUAUACAACAGCCCUCUGUAUACUGUACAUUAUCCCUUUCUGAAC